Molecule: long non-coding RNA, 1136 nt
Organism: Vespula pensylvanica (western yellowjacket)
Lineage: Eukaryota; Metazoa; Arthropoda; Insecta; Hymenoptera; Vespidae
Exons: 4
Source: RefSeq, a predicted model, not a curated record
UUGAAAUCGAAAGGUGAGAGAAGUCGGUCGUAAAAAUCUUUGUUCUCUACGCGAUCAUAAUUUCAAAAUUUUCUCAAGUCUACCAUAAUGGUGUCGCAUCUGUGCUUUAUUACAUUGUUUUAAAACCGACAAUAUAUAAUAGGCUUUCGAAGAAUCAACUAUGUAUGGAAGCAAAGGGCGAAGUUGCUUGGCAUAAAAGUGUAUAAGGACAGUACGAACUUUUUUACUUCUUUCAUACCCCCGUUCAUCAUCCAAUCCCUCUCUCUUACAUUAAGGGUGACUUUUGGACUGAUACACUCGUCUACCUGAUACCGGACUCAGUUAUCUUAUCUUCAUGAACCGUAUUUAUAUCCACGCACACAUGAAUGCACGAGAAGAGAAAGCAAGAGGGAAAUUUAAACAGGACCUUUGAAACUCGUUGCACACACCGAUGCUCGACAUGACGAAUUAGGAAGUGCUUCUAUUGCGAAACGGGAGUGUAUGUAUAUGUAUGUACAUAGAUAUCUAACAUCAAGAAAGGCCAACCACGACAAAGAGAAAUACGACCGACAUAUUUUUUGAAGGACCUUUCCUUUUUUAUUUUAUACACGUUUUCUUCUCUCGUUAUCUCGAAAGAUACGUUGUCUCGCAAAAAUCAUCGUAAAUAUCAUCUUCCUUUUUAAAAAGAAAAAUAUUCAAUAAAAAAGGAGAAAAGCGAAUAGUAAAGAAGUUAAUGCGACAUCAUUCAAGUGAAAAAAGAAAAGAAAAUUUUAUAGGAGAUCAAUUUUGUUAACGAUUCGAAAGGAUAUUCAAAGACGAAGUGAUUUAUUUUAACCCCCUUUUUCUUUUUCCUUAGUGUUCGUUUCUUUUUUACUUUUUCCAAGAAGGUUAAACAAUUAUUUUUCUCGAUGAAACUUAUUUUCUAUCUUAUACUUUUUGCUUUCUCUUUUUAUAUCUCUCGUACAUUAUUUAUCUAUUUUAUAUUUUGCCUUACCAUGAUUCAUCUUCUUUUGUACGUCUUCACCCAAAUAUAUUUAUUGCGUCGAGAAAAAAAGAAACGAAAAAAGAAACGUCGUCGAUGAAUUUUGUCUUCUUUAAAAUAAAUAUACGAAACGCUUUUUAUCGAACCUUCGAACGAAAUGUUAGCAGACAAAUAA